AUUGAACGCUGGCGGCGUGCUUAACACAUGCAAGUCGAGCGGUAACAGGCGUAGCAAUACGUGCUGACGAGCGGCGAACGGGUGCGUAAUACAUGGGAAUCUGCCUAGUAGUGGGGAAUAACCCGGCGAAAGCCGGGCUAAUGCCGCAUACGAUCCACGGAUGAAAGCGGGGGACCUUCGGGCCUCGCGCUAUUGGAUGAGCCCAUGUCGGAUUAGCUAGUGGUGAGGUAACGGCUCACCAAGGCGACGAUCCGUAGCUGGUCUGAGAGGACGGCCAGCCACACUGGGACUGAGACACGGCCCAGACUCCUACGGGAGGCAGCAGUGGGGAAUAUUGGGCAAUGGGCGCAAGCCUGACCCAGCGACACCGCGUGGGGGACGAAGGCCUCCGGGUUGUAAACCCCUGUCAUGAGGGACGAAGCCGAAAGGUGACGGUACCUCAAGAGGAACGCCCCGGCUAACUACGUGCCAGCCGCCGCGGU
RNAcentral lists this ribosomal RNA (482 nucleotides) under uncultured bacterium. RNAcentral describes it as "bacterial SSU rRNA". It matches the Rfam family "Bacterial small subunit ribosomal RNA", at positions 29 to 521 of the family's 1533-position model. The record is from RNAcentral.